RNAcentral lists this ribosomal RNA (373 nucleotides) under uncultured bacterium. Its description in RNAcentral is "partial 16S ribosomal RNA". It matches the Rfam family "Bacterial small subunit ribosomal RNA", at positions 338 to 726 of the family's 1533-position model. The record is from RNAcentral.
CCUACGGGAGGCAGCAGUGGGGAAUAUUGGGCAAUGGGCGCAAGCCUGACCCAGCAACGCCGCGUGAAGGAAGAAGGCUUUCGGGUUGUAAACUUCUUUUAAGAGGGAAGAGCAGAAGACGGUACCUCUUGAAUAAGCCACGGCUAACUACGUGCCAGCAGCCGCGGUAAUACGUAGGUGGCAAGCGUUGUCCGGAUUUACUGGGUGUAAAGGGCGUGUAGCCGGGCUGACAAGUCAGAUGUGAAAUUCCGGGGCUCAACCCCGGACCUGCAUUUGGCACUGUUGGUCUUGAGUCUCGGAGAGGCAGGGGGAAUUUCCAGGGGAGGGGUGGAAAGCGUAGAAAUUAGGAGGGACACCAGUGGCGGAGGCGGGC